UAAAGUGACAGGUCUAAGGUCA
RNAcentral lists this microRNA (22 nucleotides) under Monodelphis domestica (gray short-tailed opossum). RNAcentral's name for it is "mdo-miR-12350-5p". Lineage: Eukaryota; Metazoa; Chordata; Mammalia; Didelphimorphia; Didelphidae. The record is from miRBase by way of RNAcentral.